UACGGAGGGUGCAAGCGUUAUCCGGAUUCACUGGGUUUAAAGGGUGCGUAGGUGGGUUGGUAAGUCAGUGGUGAAAUCUCCGAGCUUAACUCGGAAGCUGCCAUUGAUACUAUCAGUCUUGAAUAUUGUGGAGGUUAGCGGAAUAUGUCAUGUAGCGGUGAAAUGCUUAGAUAUGACAUAGAACACCAAUUGCGAAGGCAGCUGGCUACACAUAUAUUGACACUGAGGCACGAAAGCGUGGGGAUCAAACAGG
Molecule: ribosomal RNA, 253 nt
Filed under: uncultured bacterium
Lineage: Bacteria
Description: partial 16S ribosomal RNA
Rfam family: Bacterial small subunit ribosomal RNA
Source: RNAcentral